GUUUUUGCCUACAUGGCUUCUUCCCAAGUACAUCCAUCACAAUAUUAUGCCUAGCAUCUUGAUCAGCAAUUGACAUCUCAUCUAGUGGAGUGCCCUCAGGAUACUCCUUUGCUAACUCAAGAUACUCAUUCUUCUUCGCCACCAUCUCAUCCUUAAAAAAAUAAAAAUAAAUAAUUAAAAAAAAAAAAACAUGUUGUAAUAAUCAUACAUUGAGUGGUUGAGAUUGGACAAUAAAUAUACAAACACUUACAUGUUUAGCUUUCGCUGUCUCAUUGGUCCAUUGCUU
Molecule: long non-coding RNA, 286 nt
Filed under: Prunus dulcis (almond)
Lineage: Eukaryota; Viridiplantae; Streptophyta; Magnoliopsida; Rosales; Rosaceae
Description: sRNA ncRNA
Source: RNAcentral